CCUUUUAAGUUAAAGAUUGAGGGGCACACCCUCUG
RNAcentral lists this transfer RNA (35 nucleotides) under Cercopithecus petaurista buettikoferi. RNAcentral describes it as "partial tRNA-Lys". The record is from RNAcentral. Lineage: Eukaryota; Metazoa; Chordata; Mammalia; Primates; Cercopithecidae.